UACGUAGGGGGCAAGCGUUAUCCGGAUUUACUGGGUGUAAAGGGAGCGUAGGUGGCAUGAUAAGUCUGAUGUGAAAGCCCGGGGCUCAACCCCGGGAUUGCAUUGGAAACUAUCAAGCUAGAGUGCAGGAGAGGUAAGUGGAAUUCCUAGUGUAGCGGUGAAAUGCGUAGAUAUUAGGAGGAACACCAGUGGCGAAGGCGGCUUACUGGACUGUAACUGACACUGAGGCUCGAAAGCGUGGGGAGCAAAC
This 250-nucleotide ribosomal RNA is filed under the name uncultured bacterium. Its description in RNAcentral is "partial 16S ribosomal RNA". It matches the Rfam family "Bacterial small subunit ribosomal RNA", at positions 524 to 773 of the family's 1533-position model. The record is from RNAcentral.